CCUACGGGUGGCAGCAGUGAGGAAUAUUGGUCAAUGGACGAGAGUCUGAACCAGCCAAGUAGCGUGAAGGAUGACUGCCCUAUGGGUUGUAAAUUCCUUUUAUAUGGGAAUAAAAUGUUCCACGUGUGGGUUUUUGUAUGUACCUUAUGAAUAAGGAUCGGAGAACUCCGUGCCAGCAGCCGCGGUAAUACGGAGGAUCCGAUCGUUAUCCGGAUUUAUUGGGUUUAACGGGAGCGUAGGUGGAUUGUUAAGUCAGUUGUGAAAUUUUGUGGCUCAACCGUAAAAUUGCAGUUGAAACUGGCAGUCUUGAGUACAGUAGAGGUGGGCGGAAUUCGUGGUGUAGCGGUGAAAUGCUUAGAUAUCACGAAGAACUCCGAUUGCGAAGGCAGUUCACUGGACUGCAACUGACACUGAGGCUCGAAAGUGUGGGUAUCAAACAGGAUUAGAUACCCCAGUAGUC
RNAcentral lists this ribosomal RNA (460 nucleotides) under uncultured bacterium. RNAcentral's name for it is "partial 16S ribosomal RNA". It matches the Rfam family "Bacterial small subunit ribosomal RNA", at positions 338 to 795 of the family's 1533-position model. The record is from RNAcentral.